AGCGGACCGGGUCGGGGAGCCCCUUUUCCUCCUCUUUGGGUGGUCGAGACCCGGCCACUGGCAAUUUUUCGAUGGGAGUGGCCGCUUAAUCUGUCCUUUCGGUCGCCAAUUAGCGGUGGAAUGGUCAGACCGGGCGCCUCGCAGCUGGGGUGGAUGGCCCACUUUCCACCGGACAUUAAAGAGGGGCCUUCUUCCGGUAGACCGGGUCGGAGGCAAAAACCAUUACCGUCCUAGGCAGCCGACUAGACGGUGGGGAAUGGAAGAGCCCAUCGGUAGUUGCACUAAUAGGCAAUCAUAAGCGCAACGAUUAGUAGGCUGCUUUUCACGCCGGGCCACUUUUAUAUUUUCGGUGGCGGCCCAUUCCUUCUUCCUUCCGCCAGCCACAGAAUAAAUCCCGCCUCGGGCCGAAACCUAUAUCGGCGGUCCCCAUGGCGCGUUGGCCGUGCUCUGACCGCCGGCCUUUGGAAAAAAUCGGUGGCGACCGAGUCACCCGCACUCUCCGGUACCCGCUAGAAAUUUUCCGAAUGUGCCAUCUACCCGGACAGGCGUAUACUUCGGCUACUGCCGUCUUAAAUUACUUAGACCACCUAAUAUUGGUUGGACCCAGCCGGUUUUGGCUCCACGCUAGUGACUCGGGAAAACGUCUUCUCCGUGGCCACGGCCUAUGACGGCGGGAAGAAACCAACGGGCCUAGAGUGGGUGGAUGGGUAAGUAAUUUUUCUUUUCUCAAUCCCCAUCUUUGGCCCUUAGGCCGAGAUCCGGCUUACCGGCCACUUCCUUCCGCCGCGCCUUUGGUCGGUGGACCUUCCACCCUACCGUCCGUCAUUAUAGGGAUGUUUUAAAAUACGGUUUUGGUACCCUAACCGGCCACCACUCCCACCCGAUCGGAGAGGCGGGGAACGGCUGCCAUGGAAGAUGGGCGCCCUAGACCGGUGGUCCGGCAGGGUGACGCGGCCCGGUCGGUGGUGGCGGCCCCGUCCGGGAAAGCCUAUUCCGGCGGAAAGGCCACUCUGACCGGAGCCUUCCUUCGCGUAGGUUUUUCGUCGGGCCUUCCCUCCACCGGGUUGGCCUCCGGAUAGUCACCGUCCGCAUCCAUUUAAGCCGACGCAUUCGAGUCAGUUGUCUAUAAAAUAAGAGCCUAUAAAAUAAAUCGGACAUCUUUUCCACCUAGAUUUUCUGUCGGCGGGCGGCUGGUAUCGCGCGGCGGAUGCCGCCUAUUUCUUUAUUAUUAUCCGUAGAAACUAUGCGGAUAAUUGUAAAUAAUCGGGAGAGGUUGCCACCUGGAAGUAGAGGAGAAACGAUAUUAACCGUUAGAAUUCGACACCUCGAAAUUCUACAGCCAGGCACCUUUAAAAACUCUCCAGUUGAAAGGCCGAUGGAUUUCCGGCCAUCCAGAACAGGGUAUCCGCAUCUUCCGUCGCCUGGUUUAUGCCAAAUUUUUUUUAUUACUAUUAUAAUUAGAAAAAGGAGAGGAAGCGCCACUCGGCCUCCCUCCAUUCGGGCAAUUUUGGCUUAUUUUUAAUGCCUAUCCUUCCACGGUGGUGUCUUUUGGGGAUCUGCCUCUGACUACCUCCCAACAGCCACGGGUUACUCGUCCUUUAUUCGGUUGGCGCGGCUUUUAUAUUUUCACCACAACUAUAAACGAAGGAGUCGGUGGUUGGCCAUCUAGGGUAAACUAUGGCAGCCGUCCGGAUAGGAUAGUAGUUAGACCGACCACCUGGCCUAUUUUUAACCUGGAUUAUGUCCGUCUCUUCGAUUUUAUUCCGAUUGUCCGCUUUUGGCCCUUACCCCUCUGGUGCCAACCGAUGUCCGGUCAUUAUUUUAACCGGGAGUCCGUUUUACCUUAUCCCAAACGGCUCCCGGAGCCUUUAAACUCGGCUGAUAAAACCAAUUCCCGAUUAACCCGUCUUCCUCCGGUUGGAGCCGGCCGUAGUUGCUUCCUCGGCCUCCCCUGCCUAACUCAUGGGAAUACCGGCCUGGGUUACGCUUAACCGUGCGCCAGUCCACGGUAACGGUGGAGGGCCGAAAGACGGCCCUCCUCCGUUAGCCCUGCCUGUCAGCUAUCGGCUGAACCCGAGGGUUGACACCACCCGUACUACCUACCGUCGGGCAUUCCGCCCACCCCCAUCGUCCGGACUGAAAAAGGUAAGUCGCCGAAGAUUCGGGUGGCCGUCUCCGUUCCCGAUAAUGCUACCGGCCCUGUCGGAGCCACGGUGGUUGGCGCUAUUCCACCUUCCCUAUCUCGGAGGUGGAUAGCAGUCCCGGUUCGGACAGUCACCGACUAUUCGCCCAUCCGCGCCUUUUAUAUCUUGGACACCAUUCAGCAC
RNAcentral lists this long non-coding RNA (2327 nucleotides) under Androctonus crassicauda. Lineage: Eukaryota; Metazoa; Arthropoda; Arachnida; Scorpiones; Buthidae. The record is from RNAcentral.